UACGUAGGGUCCGAGCGUUGUCCGGAAUUACUGGGCGUAAAGAGCUCGUAGGUGGUUUGCCGCAUUGUUCGUGAAAACUCACAGCUCAACUGUGGGCGUGCGGGCGAUACGGGCAGACUGGAGUACUGCAGGGGAGACUGGAAUUCCUGGUGUAGCGGUGGAAUGCGCAGAUAUCAGGAGGAACACCGGUGGCGAAGGCGGGUCUCUGGGCAGUAACUGACGCUGAGGAGCGAAAGCGUGGGGAGCGAACAGG
Molecule: ribosomal RNA, 253 nt
Filed under: uncultured bacterium
Lineage: Bacteria
Description: partial 16S ribosomal RNA
Rfam family: Bacterial small subunit ribosomal RNA
Source: RNAcentral